RNAcentral lists this ribosomal RNA (465 nucleotides) under uncultured bacterium. RNAcentral's name for it is "bacterial SSU rRNA". It matches the Rfam family "Bacterial small subunit ribosomal RNA", at positions 33 to 507 of the family's 1533-position model. The record is from RNAcentral.
GACGACGCUGGCGGCGUGCCUAACACAUGCAAGUCGAACGGGGAUAUGAUUUCGGUUGUAUCCCAGUGGCGAACGGGUGAGUAACGCGUGAGCAACCUGUCCUUUUGAGGGGGGAUAACACUUGGAAACAGGUGCUAAUACCGCAUAAGACCACGGGUCCGCAUGGACCAGAGGUCAAAGGAGCAAUCCGCAGAAGGAGGGGCUCGCGUCCCAUUAGGUAGAUGGCGGGGUAACGGCCCACCAUGCCAACGAUGGGUAGCCGAGCUGAGAGGCUGAUCGGCCACACUGGAACUGAGACACGGUCCAGACUCCUACGGGAGGCAGCAGUGGGGAAUAUUGGGCAAUGGGCGAAAGCCUGACCCAGCAACGCCGCGUGAGGGAAGAAGGCCUUCGGGUUGUAAACCUCUGUCCUUGGUGACGAAAAAAAUGACGGUAGCCAAGGAGGAAGCCCCGGCUAACUACGUG